Long non-coding RNA from Portunus trituberculatus (swimming crab), 1405 nucleotides. RefSeq lists it as uncharacterized. The transcript is spliced from 6 exons. Lineage: Eukaryota; Metazoa; Arthropoda; Malacostraca; Decapoda; Portunidae. The record is from RefSeq and is a predicted model, not a curated record.
GUGAAAGCAAGAUUUUCAAAUCUGCGCUGCCUCUUUCUUAAUGGCUGAAGAUCAUCCAUGUCAUACGACUGACUGCGCUGACGUUUUCUGCUGUCUGGAACAAAAUUGAAUGCCCAUCAUGAGAGAAAUGGACUGGCAGAGAUUUGCUCCAACACUGAAAUAUAUGUAGAUCUGCUCUCUCAUCUCUUCAGUUUUUGGUAAGUACCCCUUUCAAGUCAUCGCGGGACAACGAGGGACAUCGUGGGAGCACCAAGAAUGCACGAAUAGUGCAGUAUAGUAAGUGAGCAUGCUUUCCUUUGGGUAGGUGUUAGGUUCUGUUAGGCGUCAGGAUUUUCACUUUUCAGGGAUGCAAGGAACUAAUCAAUUACUGUGAGUUUUCAGAUCUGCUGUCUUCCAAAACUAUUUCUUGAUGCCAGUGUGAAUAUGUGGAAGAAAAAGCUUGAGCAGUUCUUCUCACGGCACACUGUCCCUGCUAUCUAGAGUACAGUGAAAGUUGCGGCGGUGAGGCUUCCUGGGCACGGCGGCUGGCAGCUGAAUGUCCCUCUACCGGACGGGCUUCUCCCUUGGCUCGGGAUAAAGGCGCGUGUUGGCCAGCUUGUUCUGAUGGUCAUGAGGGCUUCUGGAUAACGCAGGGUUGUUGUUAAGCAUCUGCCAGUCAAGCUGAACUUAUUGCAAGGAUUAACAAUAAAAUAUAAAACUGGGAAUCUUUGCCUCUUUUAACGGAGCUCCCCAGUACCAGGAUGGAAAUCUGGUGCGACACUGCAUGAACUUGUUCAGCCACUGAACAAUGUGUUUGAGUGGAGACGAAAAACGAGGGGUAUCUGCUGACUCUUCCCCCCAAAAGAUAAACUCCAAAUGCUGAGGCAAUAAGGUAAUAGACGAAUCCUUUGCUGUUAGAGUUAUGGUAGUAGUAGUAGUAGUAGUAGUAGUAGUAGUAGUAGUAGUAGUAGUUGUAGUUGUAUGAGUGUAGAAGGCGGUGUGAAAGUACCAUUUUGAACAAUCCUUCGCUCACUUGUAUUACUGAAUGAAAAGGAUAUGCCUGAGGCGUGGAGAAGCGGUGAGUAGUAGGGCGUAGCAAGAGGGAACACGGGAGGAUGCACGGAGGGGAGCAGGCGGGAGAGGGGAGAAGGGGAGAGGGGAAGGUAGCAGCGGCUAUCAUGAGGGAAUCCAGCCAAUCCCUCGAUAAGCCCAGCAGGAAACUGAUUGCAGCCUCCACGGGUCAGUGUGGUGUGGCCUCACGCAGCGCCCUGGAGUGGGUGGGGUGGGACUAAAGAGGAGCAGGAGGAGGACCAUCCCAAGCGAAGGGGAGGAGCUUAAGGGGGAAGGUGGGGAAACAGCCGUUCGGGAAGUGUGGACGGGAAAACUUCAGGCAUGGCGGAGACGAAGGAAAGAGGGAUAGACUUGG